RNAcentral lists this long non-coding RNA (977 nucleotides) under Vulpes vulpes (red fox). RNAcentral's name for it is "lncRNA (ENSVVUG00000006758.1)". Lineage: Eukaryota; Metazoa; Chordata; Mammalia; Carnivora; Canidae. The record is from RNAcentral.
AUGUGAGAAGACAUUAGAAGUUACUUCAAAAGGGAACUGGUAAUCUGGUAUCCAGGAAUGAAAUUUAGAAACUACAGAAGAAAAAUACACAAUCCUUCUGAUGAACUGAAUUAUGACUCAUGGGGCAGCUUGGAUGAUUUUUGCUUGCUGAAUUUUAUGGCCCGGUAGUACAUGUGGUAGUUCUCAUAUUUGGGGUCAUUGUAAAGUUUCCAUACGACUCAGAUUAGACUGAAUCAUUCCUUUUGAUCAGCUCCAUAAUCAAUAUUGAUUGUCAAAGGUGAAUGUAUCAUGUAAGGAUUCAGAUUUCAUUUAAGAAGAGUUUAUGGAAUGUUUACAGGACAUAACGAUCUGGCAUAGGCUUUGUCACAGAUACAGAGACAAUCAGGUAUGGAUCUUCUUCCCUAGAAACAGAAUCCUGGGAGCUGAAUCAAAACAGGAAUGUAAAUUUCCAUGAAAGGACUAAGGUGAUGAAGAUACAAGAUUAUGAAGUCACGAGAUAAGACAGUUAUCAGUGGGACAGGGUGGAGGGGAUGAAUGAGAGAGCAAUUGCAGAGGGAAUAGAAAUACCAUGGCCGUUGACUGUAAGAAAACUGCCCAAACUGUUGGAUUCACUGAGCACUCCAGAUUGAUUAUGAUAAGGUGCCUCAUCCCAAGGAACUUAGAGUCUGGUGAGAGCUCAUUGGCUAUACUAGUUGGAUGUAGAAGGAAACUACAACUCCUAAAGGGAAUUGCAAAGUUUUCCCGGGUCAUCACCUAGCAACAAAACCCAGCAAAACAUCCGCGAAGCAGUUUUUGCAAUGCAGCCAUCACCGACUAGCAGAAGUGACUUGUGGAAGGCUGAAUUUGCCAUGGAGGGAAUUGAAUGCUUUCUUCUUUAUUCAAGUAGAAUGCUGAGAUGUGCAGUCUGGAUCCUGCUUGGACCAAAUUAAUGUACAUUAAAGAAUAAACCAUAAUGCCCGUUGUGAAUAAAAGGUCGG